UUUAAAUGUAAAAUUAAAUACUAAAGAAGUAUUAGUUAUGUUCUUGAAAUUUAAAAAUUUUGGCGGUAUUUUAGUCUAUUCAGAGGAACCUGUUCUAUAAUUGAUAAUCCACGAUUAAUUAGACUUAAUUUAGUAAUUUGUAUAUCGUCGUUAUUAAAAAUUUUAUAAGAAUAAAAAUUUUUAAGAUUUUAAAUUAAGAAAUAUAUCAGAUCAAGGUGCAGUUUAUAAUUAAGAAGAAAUGGGUUACAAUAAAUUUAUUUAAAUGGAUUUAUAUAUAAAAUUAUAUAUUGAAGGAGGAUUUGAUAGUAAUAAAAUUAAAUUAAAUUUUAUGAUUUUAGCUCUAAAAUAUGU
This 351-nucleotide ribosomal RNA is filed under the name Batrachomatus daemeli. RNAcentral describes it as "partial 12S ribosomal RNA". Lineage: Eukaryota; Metazoa; Arthropoda; Insecta; Coleoptera; Dytiscidae. The record is from RNAcentral.